This 391-nucleotide RNase P RNA is filed under the name Pseudomonadota bacterium. RNAcentral describes it as "Proteobacteria bacterium RNase P RNA component class A". It matches the Rfam family "Bacterial RNase P class A". Rfam says of the family: Ribonuclease P (RNase P) is a ubiquitous endoribonuclease, found in archaea, bacteria and eukarya as well as chloroplasts and mitochondria. Its best characterised activity is the generation of mature 5'-ends of tRNAs by cleaving the 5'-leader elements of precursor-tRNAs. Lineage: Bacteria; Pseudomonadati; Pseudomonadota. The record is from RNAcentral.
UCAGAUGGUCGGACGGCCGCCCGGUGAAUGCCGGGAGGAAAGUCCGGGCUCCCCGGAGAUACGGUGCCGGAUAACGUCCGGCGAAGGCGACUUCAGGGAAAGUGCCACAGAAAAUAUACCGCCCGCCAACGGCUUCGGUCGGUUUGGCGGGUAAGGGUGAAAUGGUGCGGUAAGAGCGCACCGCGGUCUCGGUAACGAGAGCGGCAGGGCAAACCCCACCGGGAGCAAGACCAAAUAGGGACGGCGCGCCGCCAGGAGCGGCAGGUUUGAUCUCCGAACCGCCGUCCGGGUAGGUUGCUAGAGGCGUCCGGCAACGGGCGUUCGAGAGGAAUGGCCGUCCAUCGGGAUCAUCUCCCGAGGACAGAACCCGGCUUAUAGACCAUCUGACCCC